AUACUUACCUGGCAGGCAAGACACCAUGAUGAUAAAGGUGGUUUUCCCAGGGUGAGGCUCAUCCAUUGUACUCCGGCUGUAUUGACUCCUGUGAUUUCCCCUAGUUUGUGAUAGUGGGGGACUGUUUUUGCACUUUCCCCUG
This 142-nucleotide small nuclear RNA is filed under the name Propithecus coquereli (Coquerel's sifaka). RNAcentral's name for it is "U1 spliceosomal RNA (ENSPCOG00000013047.1)". It matches the Rfam family "U1 spliceosomal RNA". From Rfam's summary of the family: U1 is a small nuclear RNA (snRNA) component of the spliceosome (involved in pre-mRNA splicing). Its 5' end forms complementary base pairs with the 5' splice junction, thus defining the 5' donor site of an intron. Lineage: Eukaryota; Metazoa; Chordata; Mammalia; Primates; Indriidae. The record is from Rfam by way of RNAcentral.